This 207-nucleotide unclassified non-coding RNA is filed under the name plant metagenome. RNAcentral describes it as "partial contains small subunit ribosomal RNA, internal transcribed spacer 1, and 5.8S ribosomal RNA". The record is from RNAcentral.
UUUCCGUAGGUGAACCUGCGGAAGGAUCAUUCAUAAUCAGUGUUUUAUGGCACUUUUUUAAAUCCAUAUCCACCUUGUGUUCAAUGUCAGGGUUGGCUUCUUUUGAUCAGCCCCAAACAUCAAAUAUUAUGUCAACUCUUUGUCUGAAAAAUAUUAUGAAUAAAACAAUUCAAAGUACAACUUUCAACAACGGAUAUCUUGGCUCUC